CCCACAUUCCAGUUACUGUAUAUGACGGCAGUUUCCAGCUUUUAUCUCAGAAAGAUACCAACACAUGAAGAGAAAAGCAACAGAAAUGUGAUCCUUUCUAACUGCCCUGAAACUCUGAACAGAAAAAGAGUAACCAGAAAGAUUCUUAUACAUGAUUAUGUUUAUUUUCUUCUGUCCUAUAUACAGGAGAGUCAACUCAUAUAAUGAGCAGCUUUUAUAAGGAGUGAGGUGGAUUUGGAGGUGACACCAGUAUGUCAUAUAUUAGCAUAAAAAGCAAGUUACAAGACAA
Molecule: long non-coding RNA, 289 nt
Organism: Neofelis nebulosa (Clouded leopard)
Lineage: Eukaryota; Metazoa; Chordata; Mammalia; Carnivora; Felidae
Exons: 2
Source: RefSeq, a predicted model, not a curated record